This 427-nucleotide ribosomal RNA is filed under the name uncultured bacterium. Its description in RNAcentral is "partial 16S ribosomal RNA". It matches the Rfam family "Bacterial small subunit ribosomal RNA", at positions 355 to 799 of the family's 1533-position model. The record is from RNAcentral.
UGGGGAAUAUUGGACAAUGGGGGCAACCCUGAUCCAGCCAUGCCGCGUGAGUGAUGAAGGCCUUCGGGUUGUAAAGCUCUUUUGGCGGGGACGAUGAUGACGGUACCCGCAGAAUAAGCCCCGGCUAACUUCGUGCCAGCAGCCGCGGUAAGACGAAGGGGGCUAGCGUUGUUCGGAAUUACUGGGCGUAAAGCGAGUGUAGGCGGUUGCCGUAGUCAGGUGUGAAAGCCUUGAGCUCAACUCAAGAAAUGCACUUGAUACUGGGUGACUAGAGGACCGGAGAGGAUAGUGGAAUUCCCAGUGUAGUGGUGAAAUACGUAGAGAUUGGGAAGAACACCAGUGGCGAAGGCGGCUAUCUGGACGGUUACUGACGCUAAGACUCGAAAGCGUGGGGAGCAAACAGGAUUAGAUACCCUGGUAGUCCACG